GAUGAACGCUGGCGGCGUGCCUAAUACAUGCAAGUCGAGCGAACAGACGAGGAGCUUGCUCCUCUGACGUUAGCGGCGGACGGGUGAGUAACACGUGGAUAACCUACCUAUAAGACUGGGAUAACUUCGGGAAACCGGAGCUAAUACCGGAUAAUAUAUUGAACCGCAUGGUUCAAUAGUGAACGACGGUUUUGCUGUCACUUAUAGAUGGAUCCGCGCCGCAUUAGCUAGUUGGUAAGGUAACGGCUUACCAAGGCAACGAUGCGAAGCCGACCUGAGAGGGUGAUCGGCCACACUGGAACUGAGACACGGUCCAGACUCCUACGGGAGGCAGCAGUAGGGAAUCUUCCGCAAUGGGCGAAAGCCUGACGGAGCAACGCCGCGUGAGUGAUGAAGGUCUUCGGAUCGUAAAACUCUGUUAUUAGGGAAGAACAAAUGUGUAAGUAACUAUGCACGUCUUGACGGUACCUAAUCAGAAAGCCACGGCUAACUACGUG
This 497-nucleotide ribosomal RNA is filed under the name uncultured bacterium. Its description in RNAcentral is "partial 16S ribosomal RNA". It matches the Rfam family "Bacterial small subunit ribosomal RNA", at positions 28 to 507 of the family's 1533-position model. The record is from RNAcentral.